UGGCACAUAUCUGAUUGGGGGGCUAUUAUGGUACUUGUUGCCCUUUAAAAUAAUUGGCUGGUGCUGGGAGCCAAACCCUAAACUUUCCUAAGUAAAUAUCUUUAGAUACAACUGUAACUUCUGCUUUCUUCCUGAUUAGUGGUUGUAAGGGAGUGACCUGGAGACCAGUGAAACGACUUUGGACUUUUGAGGGGUGCUGGGAGGAACUGUCAGAGACUACUUGGAGAUAACGUGACUUGGAUUAUGAAAUGACUAUGAGACGGGCAGGAAAAGCUAAAGAUAAAAGUCCUGGAUUUAAAUGUUUGGAGGUCCUGAGUUCAACUCCCAGCAACCACAUGGUGGCUCACAACCAUCUGUGAUGGGAUGCAGUGCCCUCUUCUGGUGUGCCUGAAGACAGCUGCAGUGUGCCCACAUACAUCAAAUAAAUGAAUCUUUUAAAGAUAAAAUAAAAAUAAAUAAAUAUGUAAAUUGAA
Rattus norvegicus (Norway rat) is the source of this 473-nucleotide non-coding RNA. The record is from RefSeq and is a predicted model, not a curated record. Lineage: Eukaryota; Metazoa; Chordata; Mammalia; Rodentia; Muridae.